RNAcentral lists this long non-coding RNA (17939 nucleotides) under Vitis vinifera (wine grape). RNAcentral's name for it is "long non-coding RNA (VVIN_LNC001355)". The record is from RNAcentral. Lineage: Eukaryota; Viridiplantae; Streptophyta; Magnoliopsida; Vitales; Vitaceae.
AUUAUUGAAGAGGAAGUGGGGUUUGCACAUCAAGUGCCUUCAAUCAAUAAUCUGUUGAUUCCAUUUAUGAAUGAAAAGAAAGGAAAAUGGCCCCUUUCCUUACUUCUGUGGGAGCUAUAGGGAAUUUCUGCUCUAUCAGGCCCAUGAAUUGCUCCUGAUAUAUGUCCAUAGGUCCAUCAAUGCAAUUCAAUGAGUAAUUUUCAGUUAAUCUAUUUCUUGUAGUAGAAAUGUUUUUAGAAAAAUUAACCAUCAAAGUGUUUUUCUAAAAAACACUCCCAAUGAUUUGUUUUUUUAAAACCUUUUUUAGGUGUUUUAUUAAAGCACUGUCAAGCCAACUCGAACUGUAUCAAUAAGUACUGUUAACAAUGGACCAGCUAACUUUCUAGAGAAACCAGUGAGCAUGGAACACACCAGGAAUAUGAAAGUUGACAUUCUCAGUCAUGGGCAUCCAUUCUAGCAAGAGGACUUUUUUUUUUUCCUUCUAAGAGCAGAUUCCUUUGGCCCAACAAAUUUAUUCAAAAAACAAAAGAAAAAUGAAAGAAAUGUGGAGACAGUGCAAUAUGACACUUUUCGAAGCCCCAUAAUUGUUGUCUUCCAUGUGCCAAUUAAAAAUUAUAAAAUAUAACUAGUUUGCGGCCUCGAUUGUUGGAGAUGGUUAUGCUUUUCUGUAUGAGAAAAGAUUUUAGUCACAUGUCAAAAUUUACUGCAGAAAGGAAUUCAGUAUGGGAAAAUUUUUAAGCAAUUUUAAGUACUUCUCCAAUCUGAACUUGAUUCCUUUAAGCUUGGGUGUCUUUACAAUGAAUUUUUCAUUCAAGUGUCUAAAGUAAUUUUACCCUAGUUUUGAUGAAAACGUUCGUGGUGGGCUUGAUCUUGAUCUUGAUCUCCUUUUAUGUCAAAGUUUUGAAAAAACAAUUUGGUAUGAGAGACGGCAAAACGUUCCUGGUUACUCAUAUUUUCGAUUCAUAAAUUAUUGUAGAGGUCACUGGUGCAGGGCCAGAUGGUAAAAGCUGUGAUAUCCAUUCAAAUAGCAAGCCGCAUGUUGUUGAUAACUUGAUACAACUGCCACGUUUGGGAAAAUAGAGCUUAAACUAUUACAACCCUUUAUCCUUAUUUGUAGAAUAUCACACGUAAUCAUAUGUGUUGGGUUCAACUGCGGCAGGAUUUGUGAGAGCCGCAGAAGUGGACUUGCAUGAGUGUAGCAUGAAGUUGCAGGCUCCCACUGCCUCUGCCACCGUCAAAUACAUCCAUUCCUCUCCAAUUUUUUCAAUCAUCUUCGACUUGUCCAGCUUCUUCAUCACUUCACUUCCAGGAUUUGCUAAUGCAAGCUGAAUGGAUUACAAUCCAUGAUCAGUCAACAUAUAAGUCAGCCUUAGAGGAAAGAAUACUUUCAGACAAGUUAUAAAUGAUUAGUAUAAUUAACAAAACAAUGAGAAACUAAUUCUAGGUACCUGGAGACCCCUUCUAUCGACAUUCUUCCUGACUUCUUCAAGCAUGUGGAUUCCACUUGCAUCAAUGCUACUCACAGCUGGAAUUUAAGAAUUUUUCGAGUAUUAAAGAAAGUGAUUAAUGCAUAUAUAUAUAUAUAUAUAUAUAUAUAUAUUACCGAACUUUUCAUGUCUGAAUAGGGGUUGAUUGUUUACCACUCAUAUCUAAUAUGACAUAAUGUAAGCUGGUUUCUCCCGCAGAUUUUAGCCUGUCUUCCUCCUCAUAUAUCCAUCUCGAUAUCCUACGAUCAAUAGCCAAGAAUCAAGAUAAGUAUUGCUUUAUGCGAAUUGAGAAUCUAUUAUGAUCAGUCCUUGUAUCAGGGUUAUAAAUAUAUACCUUUCCCUUAAGUAGCUAGUAUUAGCAAAGUAGAUUGGAGCAUCAAUACGGAGAAUGAGCAUUCCCGGAACAUUAGCAGCAGCUGGAUACUGUUCAAUGCUUCUGUAGGUUAUGGAGUUAGGAAUGUUGCCUAGAGCAUAAGUCCUUGGCCUUGACAAGGAUAGAAGCAACCUGAGCAUGGAAAUGGUGACCUGCAUUCCCCAAUAGUUAAAUCAAAUAAUGAAUCUGACUGUCAUCUAUUCCAGCUUCAAACAUUCAGUAUAUAUAUAUAUAUAUAUAUAUAUAUAUAUAUAUUAAUUUCACAUACCGCAAUAAUUAAGCCAAUUUCAACACUGCCGAAGACCACACCAAGAAAUGCACUUAUGCUCACAAAGAAGUCGAAUUUGUCGAUCGUCCAGAGAUGGAUGAUACCCCCAUAGUCUAUCAGGCCGAGCAUGGCAGCAAUGAUUAUGGAGGCGAGCACCACAAGAGGAGUGUAAUGGAAGAGCGGGGUCAGGAAUAGUAGUGUCAUCAUCACUGCUGUUGCCAUGACAAUGUUGGAAGCUGCUGUCUUGCAACCUGCAUUGAAGUUCACUGCUGUCCGCGAAAAGGGUCCUGCAAUAACAGGUUUUUUAGAACCAGAAAUAAUGAAUAUGGGGAUGAGAAAAUAUACAAAUUUAAUGACCUAGAGAGGUAAUUUAGAGCGACAAACAAUGGUACCUGUGGUCAAGUAGCAAGAAGUUAAAGAGCCCACGAGAUUCAUCAUUCCAAAUGCGAUCAUUUCUUUGUUCCCGUCAAUGUGAUAGUUCUUAUACAUGGCGAAGCUUCUUCCCACUGCGACUCCUUCCUGUACCCCGUCCAUCAAUUGAGCUAUGUAUGUUAGCCCUCCCACUAGGAAAAAUCCUUAAAUUUACACUAUUUAUGUCGAAAAAAAAGGUAGUUUAACUGAAUGAAUUCUAAAAGACUAAUGCUAUCCAUCGUGAUCAAACAGGUUCAAUGAAUUGCUUCUGAAUUCUCACAAUGGCAUUUGUUACAAAAUAUCGUUUGGGAAAGCAUUGAAACCCCCUUUCAAAACGUUUCUCUUUCCCCCCUUUUUAUCGCCUUAUUAGCUGAAACAAAUUUUAGUAUAUUCUUUUCGUAUGUUGAAAAUUCAUUUCUACCACCUCAGUAAACUCGUAAAUUGUUGGAAAAACAUAGGAAACUCUAACAUUCCUCUUUCCCUUGCCUCCAUGCGCUGAAAGAUCUAGCAAUAAACCGGAGGAAAAGAUCAAUGGAAGGGGUAGUUGGGAUAUUUUGAUCACAUGCAAUGUCCAAUAUAUAUGGGUUGAUCACCGCCGACAAACUGAGUUGCCAAAUUUUCAGCGCUCAUAGGCAUUAGAAUGGAUGCUAUAGUGUGAUGACGAGAGGGAUUAGAACUUACAGCUAGGGAUAUGAUCCCAAUGGUGGCUCCUGCUUUAAUGGCUGUCAUCAGAUAUGGUGACCCAAAACCCAGUUCAGACACAGAUGGUGGAUUCAACCCUUUCUUCAAGUGCCCAAUCUGCAUAUACAAAAGAAAUUGCAGAUAUCAGGCACAGCAUAUUAGAACCCUGAUCCAGAAACGUUACAGGAAGGUUGACUCGCUGGUCAGGGAGAGAUGGGUGUUCACUCACCACUUGGACACCAUGUUUCUCAGCAUGGGUCAUAUAGACUAGAAUGCUUCCCAAAAUCACAGACGUUAGAGGCGCCAUGGCGUUUAUCCAGAAGAAGGCUUGUUUUCUCUUGCUCUGCUCGGUUUUCAAUGUCACCAUGAACAGAUGAUGCAUACUUUAGUGUUAAAAGUGGAAAAACAUAGGCAGAGUUCUACAAUUAUUUUGCUCUGUUUUGAAACAAGACAAAGUGCUCUAGUUUUACAAUUAUUUUAUGCUAUUAGAAAACAAGGCAAAGUGCUCUUGAAUAAUGUCUUUUGUAACUUCUCAAUCAUAUAUGAAUUGAAUAUAAACAAUAAAUUUGACAAAUCAUCUUUGGUUGGAAAGUUUCUUAAAUUUUUAGUUGGUAUAAUUUUUUUUUUUUUUAAAUAUUUUCAUAUAUCAUUGUAAUUAAAUUUAUUGUGAAAUAAAAAAAACCAUUAAUAAUAUCUAUGAAUAUAAGGAGAAUAGUUUACGAAAUAAAACCGAGGUGGUGGAUAGAGAUGUGAAGAGAUUAAAAUAAGAAAAUUUAUAAUUUAAAGUGAAAAUAUAAAGAAAUUGUCAAAACUCGAAUAGUUAUAUCAGUUCUUUUGUCUUUUAUAAUAUUAUCGGUAACAUAAUGAAGUAUUAUUUCUUAUCUGUGGAUAUAAACAUGGUUGGUAAAACCACGUGAAAACCUUGGCAGACCUUUCUACAUGGAGGAUUAUUACAUCUUUACAUUCUUUCGUUAGCAUGAUUAUAAUAGUAUUGCUUGAGUAAGUUCUUUUUCGAUUUUGAAUUCAAUUAUUGGGUUCCAUAAAUCUGAAAAUAAAUAAGACGAGAAAUGGAGAGGGUUCAGAUAAUUCACUUACAUAGUAUUUUGUGAGGAUGAGGAAUGAUAGAAAAACACAGCCCAAGACACAACUUUCCCAUCUCCACUGCAACAACCCAACACCAUAGCCACCAUUAACAUUGGAAAAAGAAAAAUGGAAACCUGGCCCAAUUUCAAUUUAAAAUAGACUAAAAAAAUAUGAAAAUUGUAGUGGAAGGGAACCUGGUGCGUUUGAGUGAAUACGGCUCGCAGUACCGAUACGAUGUCGGUCUCUAGUGUAAAAUGAACCAGACCCAGGAUACCUUUCAGCUGCUGUAAACAAACAAUUAUGGCUGCUCCAUUCAUGAACCCCACUAUUGCUGCAUGUGACAGAAAGUCCACGAGAAACCCUAGUCUGCAAGUCAUAUUUUAAUUACAAAAUAUUUGUUACAACUCUGAGGGAAACCAGAGAGAGUCAUAUAUAUAUAUAUAUAUAUAUAUAUAUAUAUAUAUAUAUAUUCCAAAAUGUUGUUUAACAAACCGACCUUAAGAACCCCAGGCAAGUUUCGAUCACUCCAGCAAAGAACGUGGCAGUGAAGACUGCCUGAAGAUAAAUCUUUGGGUUCUCAGUUGGAUUGAUCUCUCUCCCAAUCAUGGAACUUAGGAGGAGUGAUCCAACGGCAUUAGUACCCACUGCCAUGUCUCUGGAGCUUCCGAACAUGGCGUAUAUCAAGGGAGGCACAAAGCUCGAAUCUGCAUUUCCCAAUACAUAAGUUUACACUUCUCAGAAAGAAAUUAUAAAAAUUUAUUCUAAAAUAUGCUUUCUCAUCAGCACUCACAUAAUCCCUGAAUGGCGGGCACGUUCGCUAAUUUUGCAUAACUUAUCCCUUGAGGAACGGCAAGACUAGCAAUAGUAAUUCCCGCUAUUAAAUCAGCUUUGAAGAACUCAAAAGUAUAGCGAGGAGCCCACUCGAAGAUAGGUACCAAGUAUUGUAACCCUAAUACAAACUUCCUGGAAGGAGACUGGUUCUUGAAUUGCCUAAAAGGGUCAUCGGGAAAGAUAGUCUCUUUGAAAGUUGAACUCAAGGAAGCAGAAAAAGAUUUUUUUGGAGGGACAGCAACUCGACGUGGGGUUUCACAAUUGGAGUUACCCAUUCGAUCCUUGGUUCUGAAUUUAGAUCAGAUGCUACUACUCCUGAACUUAGAAAAGGUGAGAGUAGCAGUACCGUUAUGGUACCACAAGAUAUGUGUGUGGUGCAGUUAGGUCGGCUGUGCUAAAUGUUGAGUGGCCUAGAACAUAUGGUGCACGGACUUAGGUUUUUUCAAUCAAAACCAUGAAAACUCAUCUCAGUGAAGAUCCUGAAAGAGAUGGGUAUGGUGAGUGGGAGAGGGUUUGAAGAGGAGGGUUUGGUGGCAAUGGUGUGGAGGGGAGUGCAGUGAGUGAGCAAGGGAGGGGGUGGUCCUGUUUAUAUAAGGUUUGAGUUCUGAGCGGGGUAUGUACACAUGUGUGGUGUCCCCAUGUGAGAUAUUGGGACUCCGGACCCACAUGUAAAACCCACACGUGCCACCCAACUCAGCCUCAAUUUCUUCGCACAGUGAGGCCCCAACCGAGGAAGGUGGGCAGCUCACAUGUGUUCGGGAGAGGCCUGGCCCCUCUGAAAAUUGUUGAUUGCACCUCCCAUGAUUAGCAAUAUUUAACUCUGGACUUAUCAAAUUCUGAUUGCACCAGCUUGCUUUGGCACUAAAUGAGGUGCACACAUUUUUUUCUUUUCUUUUUUUUGUUUUGCUCACUGUUUUAAGCACUUCUCUAACUUUACGAUCCUGGGUUUUACACCAGAAAACUAUUAAUAGUUUCCAUAUUAGAGAAGGUAUUAGAAUCUCUAACCAACUCUUUCUCUUAGGUCAUUAACUUAAUUAUGCUUUAAUUGAUCAUUCAAAUAGGAUGCAUGUGGCGUGUGGAACUCUACUUGAAUCAACUACCACCAUUUGCUAAGCUCUGAGGAGAGUCCUAGCGAAAAAAAAAACACGCAUGAAAGAUAUGGUUAUCAGCCUCUACUAGUGGGGUGUGAUCAAGCUUUAAAAUUCAUGAAACUUGACUGGUUUCUCCGAUCCAUGAGGAGGAGGAUAAGCCUGUGGGAAAGCAGUUAAAUCGUACACAUAGCAAGUGGACUUAAUGAUGUUUGGAUGAAAUAAAAAAGUCUUGGAAUUAAACAAACAACAUAUGUUUUUGCUAGACGCCUUUAACUGUCAGGUUCAUCUCCAAGUUCCCAGCAUGCACCAUUGGGGAAAGGCCACCGGUGAUGGGCCAUUUCUGAGGUGAUGAAUGACGUCAUUUUUUUUUUCCAAUUAUGAUUCUCUCUCUAUUUUAUUUUUGUCAGGGGAAGAACAAGUCAACCCACCCUUUGGGUUGACCACACAUGGUUUAAUCACAAUUGCAUGUAAGUUGAAACUUUUACUAAGUUCCGUUUGAUUUCCAAGAGAUUGGAGAAAUUAUUUCAAAUUAGGGGUAUGCAAUCAAAUUGAUAGGACCAGAUUUUAAGGUUAUGUUUGAUUUUGGAAAAAUUUUAAAAAAGUAUAUAAGAAAAAAAGAAUAUAAAAAAAUAGAAGGAAUAUUUUUCCCCUGCAUACCAUCAAAGAUUGAAAAAAUGUGCGAAAAAAAAUUGUAUGGCUUCUUGGAUGGAUAACCCAAUUAUGUAGGUCCGACUAAUUAUGAGUUAUACGCUUCCAUAGAUAAUUUUAAUUUCAAUUUAAAAUUCUUGAAUUAAAGUCAAUUUCAAAGUCAAUAAUUGCCGACCCAGCUGGGACACUAGCAGACAAUUGAGGCACAAACUAGGUUAGGUAAAAAGUUCUUUUUGCCAACUCUGAUAUAAGCUUAUGCAAAUAGAAGGGUAUUAAUUUAUGCUUAUUUUGGCAUUUGAUUAAUGUAUAUGCUUGGUUUAUAAUUAUUCAAAUGACAAGCACGUGGUGAUAUUAUUUCAUAAAUCAUAAAAAUAUUAUUAAAUCAUUUUUAUUUGAGAUGAAUGACAAUCUGGUCAUCUAACUUUAUACAUUUAAAUAAAUUUAAAAAUAUUUACUAUAUAUAUUUUUUAGAUUAUUACUAUUAUUAAAAAUUUAUUACUAUUAUUGCAAAGAUAAAUUAAUUGAAAGAUAUAUGUUUUAGCUUAUUAUUAUUGUUAAUUAUGGGGAUGUUUGAUAAAACUCAAUACUUAUUACUUAAUGACUUAAGUUGAUUUUAAGUUAAAUUAUACUUAUGUCGUGUUUGUUUUUUGGUUGAAUAGAAAAAAUCAAAUAUCUAAAAGUAACUUAUUGACAUCAACCAAUAUAAUUAAAUUAAACUUAUUGAUAACAAGUUCACUUUAGUUAAAUUGGUUAAUAUCAGUAAAGUACUUUUAGGUGAAUAGAAAAAGUCAAAUAUUUUAGUUUUUUCUAUUCAACCAAAAAACAAACAUCACCUUUAAAUUACUGACUUAAAACUUAUUACUUAAUUUUUAUAUUAAAGUUGUUUGAUAAAGUCCACUUAAAACAUAUCCAAAAUUAUUAAAUUUAUAUAUUUAUCCUCAUAAAUUAUAAUUAGAAUAAAAGAAAUCGAGUAAUAGUAGAGGUUGUAGAGUAGGAAAAGAUAUCAUAGAGAUAACUAAAGUAAAUAAAAAUAAAAAUGUGAACUUAAGAAUUUAAUUAUUUUACUUAUUACUUAAAAUUAUUUUUUAUUUUAAAUCACACCAUUAAAUUAUUUUACCAAACAUAUUUAAUUUAUUUAAUAAUUUAAAUUAAAUUAUUAAGUCACUUUUAAGUUAAUAGGUUAGUGGACCAAACACCCACUAUGUAUCCAACUUAAUCUAUAUAUUUUUGUUGUACAGUUACCUAAAUAUCAAAUUCUUUUUGCGCAUGAAAAAUAAUUAGUAAUAUUACACAAAUAUAAAAUAUGAUUAUAAGUUAUUGGACUAUAGGUUAUUGACUUUUGUUGCAUAUGCACUUUGUACUAUGCCCUUUCAAACAAAUUUCAACUCUUUAUUUUAUUAAAUAUAUGAAUAUUUAAAUUAACUAGAGAAGCAAUUGUACUUAUCAAUUGACUCAAAUUAAUUUUCAUAUUUAUCCAAUUUUUAUCUUGCGGCACCAAAUUUCUUAUUUUCUUUUUAUUUUAUUUUUCCUUUCUUAUUUUGCCAUUUUUGAAGCUUCUACAUAGCUUGGCAGACUACCAUGUUUUGCAUUCAACCAUUUAAGUUAUUUUCUAAACAAUUAUUACAAAUUAAUUAUUUAUUUUAUUUUCAAAGUUUAGCCAGAUAUUCAUGAACUGAAUUAGAUAAAUUUGUAAAAUCAAUUUAAUAACUUAAUAACUUAAUUUAAAUAUAAUAAAAUAACUUAAUAUUAUAACGUAAAAUCAUUUUAAAUUUUAAGUAUUAAAUCAAAAUAGUUAACACCUCAUUUGCCCACACUAAUGAAAAUAUAUUUCAGAAUUAUAAUUCUAAAUACAUAAUUUAUUUUUUAUAAUAAAUAUUUUAUGAUUAUAUUAUAUGUCUAUAAUGCUUAGAUAUACAUGUUUUAUAAAUAAAUUUAUUACUUCAAAUUAAUGAAAAUAAAUAUGAGUUAAAAUCAAUAAAAAUAAAAUUAAUUUGAUGAUUUAAAAUAAAAAUUAAGUAAAUCAUUAACUAAUAAAUAUUAAAAAAAUUAUAUUUAAAUCAAACAUUAAGAUAAAGUUACUGUCAAACAAUAAAAUAGAAAUAAUUGAUUCCAAAUUUUCGUUCCAGGAAUGAUUAACCCAUUUCAUUACUCAUUCAAGGAGUCAUGAAAUCAAAGGGAAUCUUUUAUUUUUCUUUGACUAAUGAUUAAGACGAAGGGAGAAAUCUUGGUAGACGAAUAAGUGAUAAGUAAAAAAUAAUUAGUCAUUUUUUGUGGCCAGUUUUAAUUUCAACUUGGAAAAUUUGACUUCAAAUCAGUUUCAGAGAUUUGACAGUUGCCAACCCGGGAGAGCACCAAUUUUGGUGGAAGGUAUUUCUGCCGACUCCGGAGAGUUUUAGGCGAAAUAAAGAAUGUAAGGGACAAAUGCAGACGAAAAUUGCUGGGGACAAGGAAAGAAGGAUGUGAUGAAACGUCGUGGUCAGGGCCAAAGGGUGGCAAGCAUGGCAUGAUGUGGGGAUUGAUGAUGGCCAGUGAGAAUUUUGAGGUGGGCAUGGAAUUGGAAUUUGUUUGACCUUAUAGAAAAUGGGGAAUUUUCAUUUCUUCCUCUUUUUCCGUUUUGGGUCUUAUCUUUCUCUCUUCUCAUCAUAAGAGUGAAUGAUGAUGGCAGGCCCAUUUCUUCCCUGAUUGCUGGGUUUACUUCUCUUAUCCUCCCCCGCAAAUCUUUGAUCGCUUUAGAAAACACGUCACUAGUUUGAUGCUUUACGCAUUUGCAUUUCUUUAUAUAUAUACACACGAUAUGAAUUGCCACUUUCUGCAUGCCCAACUGCCACAUAUCUUACUCAUUGAUUGCAAUGAGCAGGAAACAGAGCACUAAGUUGAAAUGAAGUUAUAUAUUUCUUUGUUCUUCUUCUAUGAUUCCAUGGAGGCCCUAGUAACAGAGGACUUCCAAUGAGUCGGAUGUUUUGGACCGUGAGUUUCUUAUGUGUAGAGUUCCAGGUUCUGGAAUGGCCUUUGUUGUGUCAAAUCAUGGUAAUGUCAAAGGGCCGGCGUUGAUGGACGGUUGUUUGGGAAAAUAAUCGAAUUGAAAUUGUACGGGGCAAAUCGAUCGACACUUGAAUGAAAUGGAAAUCCCACUAACAACCCGAACUUUAGUGUAAAAUAAAAAAAUAUAUAAAAAAAAAGGCAAAAUUCUUGUGAAACACAUGCAAUUUUUGUGAGUGGCUGGUUGGAAAUGUGGCUUAGGUCGGACUUCAUGUGGCGAAUAUUUAUUUAAAGGCAACUUAUUUCCUAGCAGACGCAACUGGAGUGGGGUGUCAGUAAAGGACAAGGUAUAACAAUAAUUGAGCUCGCCGGCCACAUGGAACAGUCUCAACGUUCAAGCGUGGAGCACUGCCAUCAGGCAUCAUCAUGGUUCGUGGAGUACUUACUUGAAUGGAAGGAUGGAUAAACAUCAAGUAGGGCACUGUAUUUCCCGUACGUAACUCGAGGAAAAAACCAAGGUUUGGUUAGAAUAGUUUUCGAAAAUUCCAAACUAAAAAAAUGAGAAAAAUAUGCGUGAUAACUAUUUUUUUUUCCUUAAAAAUAGUUCCAUAUAACAUAUUUUAAUUAUUUUUUUAUUAUUUUUAUUUAGUUUUUGAAAAUUAUUUUAAAAAAUAAUUAUAUAAGCAUAUAUAAUGAUUAAAAAUAAAAUAUUAGAUAUAAAAUUAUUUUUAAAAUAUAUUUUAAAAUAUUAAAAUAAGAUAAAAAUAUUUUGAGUUUUCAAAUAAACUUUUAUUUUAUAAAAUAUUAAAUAACAGUUUUCAAAUACUGUUUUAAAAAAUAAUUACCAAAUAUAUCAUAAGGUAUCAAAGAGGUUGUCUAAUUUGUGAUCUCUAUCCUUAAAAUAUAUGAAAAAAAUAAAUAAAUAAAAUCAAAAUAUAAAAUAAUGAGAUUUAGAUAUUUAUAUGAUAUAAUUGAAUUAAUUAUAUCUUUUCAUAAAUAUUUUUUUAGUAAAGAGUUAAUGAGUCAUGUUCGUGUCAUGUCAAAAUUAAGGUAUUCUAUUAUAUAAGUCAACCCAAAUUCGACCUAAAUAAUAAUCAUAUUAAAAGCAUAUAUAAAUUUAAAUAUUACCUAAUUAUAAACAGAUAACACGUGGUAUGAUCCAUUUAAUCCAUUUAAUAAUCACGUCCUUUUAUAUAAUAAUUAUGUUGAGUUUAUAUAAGUUUAUACGAUUAAUACCUUAAUCAAAGGUAUUUAUGACUCAAUUAACUUAUUUGUUUAAAAAUAAACUUAAAAUGAAUUAAAUAUGUAUCAAAUAGUUUAAAAUUAUAAUUAAGUUAAUCAAAAGAAUUAUUAAACAAGUCAAUUCAUAUCAAAUUCAUGUUAUGUAGGUUGACUUAAAACCUACUUAUUUAUUAAACAUAUUAUAUAAGUGGACACAAAUUUGAUUCAAACUCAAUUAUACUCAACUCAAAUUUAUGAAAAACAUGUUAAGUUCUAAUCAUAUUGACGAAUCGUAUCAAACUUUAUCAUCCUUAUUUUUUAGUAUCAUAAUUGAACUAAUUAAAUAUAUAACUAUAAAACUAACAAGUUCACUUUAAUUAUAAAGAUUGAUAUCAAUAUAUUACUUUUAAUUAAAUUUAUUUAUUUUUCUAUUGACUCAAAAUACAAACACUUAUCUUCUACUAUCUAUUCAUGCGGAAUCUUCAUCAAUUAUUGGGGACCAUGCAGGUCCCGCAAGUGGUAGAGUGACCGCGCACUCAUGUUGGAUGUCUCAAAAGAUUCUUGAGUAAACUCGAAAGUAGAUAUUAAGAACUUUAUUUGAAUAAAAAGAAUGAUAAAAUUGAAAAUCUACAUUUUAUUUUUCUUCGGUUGUGUGUUAUUUCCUUGAGGCAACUCUGGGUGGGGCGUAGAGCAUUAGGACAACUUAUAGUGCCAUUUAAAGUAAAGAAAGAGAUUUGUGGAGUGAAGUGGGUAAUGAGCUCUGGAUAAGUUUAUGGCUGUAAUUUGAAAAACCAAUAUGCUGAUGAUGAGGCGAGAGACAACUGGGGACCCCAAAAAUGUUGUGGUCUAAUGGCCGGUGCAUGCAUGCACAUGCACCUGAGCAAUAUUAGUGGUGUUGGAGGCACCGCCAUCUGAGUUGCCUAAAAGGACUGAUACCAAAGAUUUUGCGGAUCAUCUCAUGUAAGUAGGAGUUGGACACAAUUUUUGUCUACUAUGUCAAAUGUCGGUGUGUUCAAUGUAGAAUGUUGGAUUGACCCUAAGUACAAUGAAGCUCGAGAAAAAUCUGUUUUGCCCUUUGUACGAUGAAUUGGAAAAAAGGAUUUGCCAAAUACGCCUGUUUAUAAACGAUUGUGGAUGUGGAUAUCGUUUCUACAACCCACGGUUUCUUCACUCUCUUUGUCCCUUUUUUCUUUUCCUUUUACCCAAGUCGCAUGGGAAAUCAUCUUUAUAGAAGGCUCAUAUCUUUUCUGCUCAUUGAAAACGUCUUUAUAAAACAAUGCUGUCAAAUAAUUUUUUUUCACAACACUUUUUUGCUUUUAUUUUUUUAUUUUUUUGAAAAUGUUUUUUUUUUUCUUAUUUUUGGAAAACAUCUUUUGCCAAGACGCUUUUAAUUAUACUUUAUUAUAAAAUAAUUAAAAUAGAAGUUUUAGAGUAUAUAUAUAUAUUUUUUUUCAAAUUUGAUAAGUCUCUUCAAAAUAAAAGUACCUUUUAAAAAUUAUUUAUUUAAUAGAUCAUUUUUUUUUACUAUAUUUGAGAAAAUGGUUUUCAAUAUUUGAUACUAGAUUAUUAGGUUGAAAUUCAGUAUGUUUACUCGCACUCAAUUGUAUAGACAUGAUUUGUUUUGGGUGCAAAUAGAUUUUCACAUCUUUAAAACAUAUUUACAAAGUUUAAAGGAGACUAUAUUUAUAUAGUAUUAUGAACUUUUUCUCAUAUUUAAUGUGGAACAUCAUAAACACUUUUUAUGCAGGCACAAUGUCAUCAUUAUAUCCCACAAGAUUACCGAAUCAAACAAACAGACAUCCGUCAUGGGGCCAAAAAAAUUCCCUAAUGGGGUUAAAAAAACCUUGCACCGGGGUAGAGAUUAUUUUUUAUACCAUUUGUAACAACUCACAUUUAACUAUAUAAAUAUUAUCCACUUUGGGAGUAUGUUUAGCCCUAUAAAAGGUGUCUAUUUGUUUUGCCUUGUAAUUUCAUGGGGAUAUAAUGAGAAUGUUAUGUUUGCAUUAACGGGUGUUUGUAAUGUCCUAUAUCAAAUAAAGGAAAAAAAUUUAAACACUAUAUAAAUAUAAACUUCUCUUAAUCUUGUAAAUCCAUUUUAAUGUCAUGAGAACCCAUUUGGGUUCAGAAUUAAUAAUAUUUAUAAAGUUUUGCAGGUUGUUAUAAAUGGUAUUAGAGUCAAUCCAUAAUCUCGGUGUAGGGGUUUAUUUGGUCUUAUAAAGACGAAAACUUUAUAUCUAUAUGAGGGGUAAUUAUAAUAUCUUACAUCAAAUAUAAAAGAAAUUUUCUGAAGUUAUACAAGUAUGAGUUUCUUUUAACUAUGUAAACAUAUUUUAAAAUUGUAAAGAUCUCUUUGGAUUCAAAAUAAAUAAUAUUUAUAUGAUUGGAUGUCAAUCAUUUAAGUAUGUAAGUAAAGUCGAAAAAACCGACAAACUAAUCCAAACCAACCAAAACUGAUCAUAUUGGUUUGGUUUUCAAAAAUAAAAAAGGUCAGUUAAGUUUGAGAAUUUUGAAAACCAUUUUGUUGGUGCAAUUUUCGAUUUUCUUGUCUUAUAAAUGAUAAAAACCAAUUAAAACCAACCAAAAUCGAUCAUAUUAGUUCAAUUUUCAAAAAUAAAAUAAGUCAGUUCGAUUUGAGAAGUUUAAAAACUAAUCUUAUCGAUGCGGUUUUCGAUUUUAUUAUAACUAAAAAAAAAAAAAAACCAAACUAAUAUUCUAAAACUUAAAUAUAAUUGUUUGAUAUUUAAUAAUUUUUUAUUAGAUUUUAUUAAACUAAUUCAUUAUUUUUAUAUUAUAGUCAAAUUAAUUGCAAAUGCAUUUAAUAUAUUUUUAACAUCAAAUUCAAGUUAAUUUCAAUAAAUUUUAAAAACAAAUUAGAUUUAGGGUCUAAUAUAAACUCAAAUUAAUAGGAUUUAUGCUCAAAAUAAACACAAAUCUAUAACCAUGUUUAGGACUAAAAAAAAAGGCUAUUAAGUUGGAUUAAAAUCGAUCUAUAAAAAUCCAACCAAACCAACCUUAAAAGGCCUAAUUUGAUUCGGUAAUCCACCUUAUUAACAUGAAAUGAUUAUUAUUUUAACUGAUAACUUUGUUUCAUUUGGAAGUCUGUUUCCUAUUUUCACUUUUUCACCUUUUGGGAACGGUUGUUGAAAGCAUAUUUUUCAUUCUAUUCAAUUACUUUUGCCCGCUAUUGAUUGUUUUUGUGGCACAGAUUGCAAUAUUUUAAGAAUUAUUAUUAUUUAAAUAUUUAUAAAAAAAAAUAAGGAUAAAAAAAGUUUCAAAAAUAAAAAUAAAAUUACAACAGAACAUCCAUAUGGGGUUUUAUAAUAAGAAGAUAUAAAGAAUUGUCCAUCAUUAUGAUGUGACUCCCACCUUUGUGAUUUCCACCUUCUGUCCCGAUGAAAUCUAUGGACAUUGUGGAAAAGCUAUUGCACUUAUUAUAUAUAAUAUUCUCUUUACCGCCCAAUCUGCGUUUUCAGCACAAGUCAAAGCAGAAUCCUUGAUAAACCUACAACCAUCCAACACAACACGAUGGAUGUUUCCGUAGGUCGCCGCUAGAAUGUCUCUGAACCUUCCAUCUGUCCAACAUAUUGACCCAUUUUAGGGCUUUUCGAGCUCCAUUUUCAGCUGGCCAGCUCAUUCUCAUUUAUGUGAAAGAUGAUUUGUGCUUCUAGACCUUCUUUAGGGGUUGGAAAUUGGAAUACAUAUAUAUUAUCGAGCCAUUCUAUGGUAUCGAAAAGUGCUUUUCGGUACCAUACAUUCGUUUUUAAACCAAUAAGAAUAAGCCACAUGUAAGGUAUAGUUUAAGUCGAUAAAAGUCAGAAGGUCAAAAGAUUGAAAAUGACCUCCAUAUUUGGCAAAAUGUCUACUCAUGCUAUCCAGUGUACUCCAAGACUCUCUCUCCCGAGAUUCCUACCGAAACGUCAUCUUCUAAGAGCUUCGAUUAUUGAUUUGACUAUUACAGAAUUUUAUUGGCAGCCAAGUCCCUGCAUUAAUUCCUCGGAAAAUGCUAAAAUAUCUCUAUGAUAUUUAUCCGAUAAAAGAUUUGGAUUAUCGAAUAUAUAUAAGAACGUAAAAUAAGAAUAUAAUAUAAUGAGAUUAUAAUAUAAAUGAUGAUCAAUGAUACCAUUUUAGUAGAUUAGAAACAAUACACUUCUAUACUCUCAUCGAAGCCUAAUUCCUGUUAUGUUUUCAGAUUUGUAAUUUCUUGCCUCAUUUGAAAAAACAAAAUGAGCGGUCGUAACAUGGAUAAAUAAUUUAGAAGGGUUAAGGAAGAAUAGGAUGGGCAUGAGGUUGACCUUUUCAAAUUGUUGAAGGAGUGGGGCUUGCAUAUAAGUGCCUUUUAUCAAUUGGAUCUAUGGAAAGAAGGGAGAAGAGCAUCUUUCCAUAAAUGCUUGGGAGAUGGGAAUUUCUGCUUCCUCAUACCCAUGAAUAGUUCAUGAUAUAUAUCUUCAGUCUUCUAAUGACAUAAAUGUCACUCUCUCCAUUGCCAAGGAAAAUGUGGGGCGGUGAAGAGAUAGGGUGGAUUAUUGCUUGGCUCUAAUGAUCUGGAGUAAUCUCCAUUGCUUGGCUCAAAUGCAGUCUCAAAAUUCUUGAUCUGGGGAGCUUCUGAAACAAAUGAUCAAACAGGGCCUUGUACCUAUCCAUGUAGUAGUGCAGUGUUUACUGUAUUUUCUAGCUUGUCCAUUGAAGAGGGGCGAAUUGUGGCAUGGACCCAGUGAAGUGGAGUAGAAAUGCCAAGUGUUCAGUGUCGGGGUCAGACAUGAGCACUGCUCAUUACUACAAGUUUCUCUCCUCUUUAGUAUCUCCAUGAAUUCUUUCUACCGAAUCUUGAUUUCAUAAAUUCAAAAGUUUUUAAUGAAUGUUAAUGCAUGUUUUAGUUGAUAAUUAGGCUUUGAUACAGGUAAUGGGGUCCAAUAAUAUCAUUCUUAAAGGGAUAGGUCACCCAAAUGAUAGGCAUUCAAAUGUCUUAAAUGACUUAACUUAUUUUUAAUAGACACCAAUUAGUUUUCAAAUGAAAUGGUCAAAGUCUGAUGAUCCAAGAAUUGAUAUUGAAGCCAAGAUCAUGGAUUUGGUCUACGAGAUCCUUAUGUUGAAGGAGGGAUUGUUGGGUAUACUUAAAAUGAUGAUGGUCAAAUAUCAUAAAAGAAUCAAAGAAAUACGAUGAUUUUAGGAAUAUGAUUUACCAAUUAAAAUGGCUCAUAAGGUCUUCAUGUAACCAAAAAAAUUUUGCAGAGUGAAUGCUGCAGUUAAUAAAGUUCUACCCCACUCUUUAAUUUCAGUUCUGACAUAAUUGAAUUGUUUGGAAAUACAAAAAAUGGAUCUGAGUGCAUACUAUUGCCCCGUCCAAGCGUCACUUGAUGAAUGGAAGACGAAACACCCAAGAUUAUUGAACCCACAUGGUACCGCAAUCCUCCUGUCUUCACUUGUUUAGACAUGUAAUCUCGUCAUCUUCUCAGAGAAUCAAAAUCCUCCCGAGUACGUCCAUUUUUCGAGUCAGAUGCCCACCAUCUUUCCCAAUAAAAUCAAUGAAGAUUCCGGAAAAGCUACUACAUGUACACUUUACGGCAUUCCCAUUACUACUGAUGCCACUUUUAGGAAUUAGGACAAGUCAAACGGCAUGGUUCAUUGCUUCCCUUUAAUAAAGUGUAGAAUGAAGUUUGCUCACGUUUCUCUAUAUUUCUGCUAAAUUAUUGAUUAUGGAGCCUGCUUCUGGCUUAUCAUUUCUAGCAAGCACUUUCAUUUUUAUUAUUAUGAAUAUUGUUACUUCAGUGCUCCAAACCUCUAGUACUGCUGAAGAUGAAUGCUUGUAGACUUUGGUGGUAGGAAUAUAUUCUCUGCCGAAAGCACCCAAAACCACAGGCAUAGUAGAAAAUGACGUCCAUGUUGGGCACUAGCUCUCUUUCUCAUUCUACUAAAAGUGGUUUAAUCUGUCUAGUGUCCAAGAACUACAAGGCUCUCUACCAAGAUUCCUUGCGGAAAUGUCAUCUUCCAAGGGUUUUCAAUUAUUGAUCUGGCCCAUUUCUGACUUCGUUCAAGUAGCAGACACAGGAAGAGGAAGAGCAUAAAACUCUCAACUUCCCAAACUACAGUAUACCCGCCUGCCCAAGACAGAAGAACAUGGGCAGGAUAUAUACCUCACAAUAAUUUGCAGAUGUGGGGGUUUUUUCUCAGUUGAUCAAUCAUUAAAUUGUUAAGUGAAAGGAAAGGGCUACAAAACGAGAGAAGAAGAAGCGCUUGCAGGGUGGACUUCUUCAAAUUAUUGAAGAGGAAGUGGGAUAUACACAUCAAGAGCCAGGCUUCCGUCAAGAAUAUGUUGAUUGGGUUUAUGAAUGGACAGAAACAAGCAAAAAAAGUAGCUUUCCGAAAUGUUUGAGAAAUGGGAAUUUCUGCUUUCUCAGACCCAGAAACAGCUCCUGAUAUUGACAAAUUAUACUGCUUUCACAUCAUUAAUUUUCUUUCUAGUGAAACAAAUGUCAUGUUCUGCUUUCUUUACACCAUUGAAAUGAUGAGGGAUAGGAUUAAUUAUUUAUUGAUGCGUCCAAAUUCAGGACCAGCUCUCGGCCUUUUCACAAUAUUCCUUUUGGGUUCGUCAAUCUGCCCAACCCUGAUGAAAGCGGAUCGUACUAAAUCCAUAGCCUACCAACAUUCGGGUGUGCCUGCUAUCCCCACUUUUAACACAGCGAACCUCAUUCUAGCCAAUGUGCUUUUUAGGUUAUAGCCCCCACCCACAAAGGGUAUAUAUCUUCUACCGGCCGCCGACCAGUUCACUCUCAUGAUUGAAGAAAGCAGGUGGUGCUUUAGGCGAGAUACAGAUUGAGCCGGCAUGCUUUUAAAGACCAGGUUCCCGCUUCUAGAAUAUUUAGUGUGCG